Molecule: ribosomal RNA, 335 nt
Filed under: uncultured bacterium
Lineage: Bacteria
Description: bacterial SSU rRNA
Rfam family: Bacterial small subunit ribosomal RNA
Source: RNAcentral
AAUCACUGGAAGGAGUUUUCGGACAACGGAAGGUGAGGACAGUGGCGGACGGGUGAGUAACGCGUGAGGAACCUGCCUUUCAGAGGGGGACAACAGUUGGAAACGACUGCUAAUACCGCAUGACACAUAGAGAUCGCAUGGUUUUUAUGUCAAAGAUUUAUCGCUGAAAGAUGGCCUCGCGUCUGAUUAGCUAGUUGGUGAGGUAACGGCCCACCAAGGCGACGAUCAGUAGCCGGACUGAGAGGUUGACCGGCCACAUUGGGACUGAGAUACGGCCCAGACUCCUACGGGAGGCAGCAGUGGGGAAUAUUGGGCAAUGGGCGCAAGCCUGACCC